This is a non-coding RNA of Myotis davidii, 73 nucleotides long. The record is from Rfam. NCBI's taxonomy places the organism in Eukaryota, Metazoa, Chordata, Mammalia, Chiroptera, Vespertilionidae.
GGCUGGGUAGCUCAGUUGUUUAGAGCAUUGUCCUGAUACACCAAAUUUGUGGGUUCAAUCCCCAGUCAAGGCA